UACGAAGGGGGCUAGCGUUGUUCGGAAUUACUGGGCGUAAAGCGUGCGCAGGCGGCCAUUCAAGUCAGGGGUGAAAGCCCAGAGCUCAACCCUGGAACUGCCCUUGAAACUGUAUGGCUUGAGUAUGAAAGAGGUGAGUGGAAUUCCCAGUGUAGAGGCGAAAUUCGUAGAUAUUGGGAAGAACACCGGUGGCGAAGGCGGCUCACUGGCGUCAUAACUGACGCUCAUGCACGACAGCGUGGGGAUCAAACAGG
Molecule: ribosomal RNA, 254 nt
Filed under: uncultured bacterium
Lineage: Bacteria
Description: partial 16S ribosomal RNA
Rfam family: Bacterial small subunit ribosomal RNA
Source: RNAcentral